This 921-nucleotide ribosomal RNA is filed under the name uncultured bacterium. RNAcentral describes it as "bacterial SSU rRNA". It matches the Rfam family "Bacterial small subunit ribosomal RNA", at positions 8 to 913 of the family's 1533-position model. The record is from RNAcentral.
AGAGUUUGAUCAUGGCUCAGGACGAACGCUGGCGGCGUGCCUAAUACAUGCAAGUCGAGCGAAUCUGAGGGAGCUUGCUCCCAAAGAUUAGCGGCGGACGGGUGAGUAACACGUGGGCAACCUGCCUGUAAGACUGGGAUAACUUCGGGAAACUGGAGCUAAUACCGGAUAAUCCCUUUCCUCACAUGAGGAAAGGCUGAAAGAUGGUUUCGGCUGUCACUUACAGAUGGGCCCGCGGCGCAUUAGCUAGUUGGUGAGGUAACGGCUCACCAAGGCCACGAUGCGUAGCCGACCUGAGAGGGUGAUCGGCCACACUGGGACUGAGACACGGCCCAGACUCCUACGGGAGGCAGCAGUAGGGAAUCUUCCGCAAUGGACGAAAGUCUGACGGAGCAACGCCGCGUGAGUGAUGAAGGUUUUCGGAUCGUAAAACUCUGUUGUUAGGGAAGAACAAGUAUCGGAGUAACUGCCGGUACCUUGACGGUACCUAACCAGAAAGCCACGGCUAACUACGUGCCAGCAGCCGCGGUAAUACGUAGGUGGCAAGCGUUGUCCGGAAUUAUUGGGCGUAAAGCGCGCGCAGGUGGUUCCUUAAGUCUGAUGUGAAAGCCCACGGCUCAACCGUGGAGGGUCAUUGGAAACUGGGGAACUUGAGUGCAGAAGAGGAAAGUGGAAUUCCAAGUGUAGCGGUGAAAUGCGUAGAGAUUUGGAGGAACACCAGUGGCGAAGGCGACUUUCUGGUCUGUAACUGACACUGAGGCGCGAAAGCGUGGGGAGCGAACAGGAUUAGAUACCCUGGUAGUCCACGCCGUAAACGAUGAGUGCUAAGUGUUAGAGGGUUUCCGCCCUUUAGUGCUGCAGCAAACGCAUUAAGCACUCCGCCUGGGGAGUACGACCGCAGGUUGAAACUCAAGGAAUUGA